Ictidomys tridecemlineatus (thirteen-lined ground squirrel) is the source of this 5006-nucleotide non-coding RNA. The record is from RefSeq and is a predicted model, not a curated record. NCBI's taxonomy places the organism in Eukaryota, Metazoa, Chordata, Mammalia, Rodentia, Sciuridae.
UGAGGCUGGAGCAACUUCCAGCCAGGGAAAGGAAAGAGGCCAUGUGGCUGAAAGUGAGCAAGCAGAGGACACAGCAGGAGAUGAGGGCAGAGGCCCUGGGGAAGCAGAGCAGGUAAUUGGAGUUGAAGUCCAGCAAGAGAUCGCAGAGUCCGAGAGGAGAUCAGCAAGCUGAAAGUGAUGUCAGGAGGAAAGGAGUGUGACUUAACCUGAGAAAGAGCGGUGCCUGACUCCUCUUUCUUCCCUCCAGGACCGCUUCCUCAAUCAACAGUCUUUAGAAGUCAACCUGGAAAGUAGAGAACAAACUGUUUAACCCUUCAAGUGUACACAUUUGUCCCCAAGAUAAUUUCAUUAUAUAUAUGCAAAUAUUCCAAAUUUAAAAUAAAACUCAAAGUCUGAAAUAAUCUAGUCUCAAGUCAGUAAAGGGAUAUUCAACCUAUGUAUGCAUUUCUCUUGCUUUUCUUUCUUUUCUUUUUUGUAGUACUGGAGAUUUAACCCAGGGAUGUUCUUUCACUGAGCUACAUCCCCAGCCCCUUCUAUUUGGAGACAGGGACCUGCUAAGUCACCAGGCUGGACCUGAACUGGUCUCUUGCCUCAGCCUCCAAGUUGCUGGGAUUACAGGGUCUGCUGACAUUCAAGGAUGUGGCCAGAGAAUUUUCUGAGGAGGAGUGGAAGUGCCUGGGCCCUGUUGAGAGGGCUGUGUACAGGGACAUGCUGCCGGAACCUACAGGAACCUAGCCUUCCUGCUUGAGCACUACUUCCCCCAAGGUCGGGGUCUGCUCUGCAAAUAUUUCCAUUUCCCGCUGUGUGCCUCUAGGGGGCCCUGUGUGCCUCUUGGGGGCCCUGUGUGGCUUGACUGAGAAUGAAAUCCUGUGGCCUCUGCAGGGAGAAGCUUCAGCGUGACCUCUGACUUUCAAACAUCUCCUUCCUUCAGGUGAUCCUCCCCCUGCAUGAUCAUGGGCGGUUCCAGAGCUGAAGUAGGCCUAGAGCCUUUCAGAUUUUAAAACAUCCACUGCUCUUAUGGUUUACCUCUGAACUUGUAAAUCAAUAGUUCUUGGAAGAAAGCUAGAUGUCUUCAUUACACUGCUCCCUAAACUUUUGGUGAAAGGUAAUAAGUGACUUUUUCUUGCUCCCCCCCAUCUGCAAUGUCCUCUCCAGCAAGUUGAGCAUGGCUGCAUUCUGGAAAGCAACCGCACAGCAUGUCCCUUUCUUUCAUAAGCAGGAAUCUCUCUUCCUGAUGGGAGUGUUGUCUCUAUGUUGGAACUCUGGACUAUGUAGACCAAGGUGAAAAUCUCAUGAAGCACCCCUCCCCUAGGUGGUUUUCCGUCAAAGGUGAGAGCACAGGUAUGAACUCAGGUGGCAGAGGAAGCUACACCACUCAUAGUGGGCCAGAGAGUCACGCAGACAGGGUAGUGGGAGAACAAAACCCUAUUUCCCAUCUACCUGAAAGCAAUUUUCUCUCCUGCCCUUGUCAGCUGUUCUUCAAAUGGAAGUAUUUAUCCUCCCAGCAGUGCUGCAGCUCAGACAGGGCAGAGUUUCCCUUGUGAUGAACAGCCAGUGGUCAGUUCUCUGCCAGUAGAUGUCAGAGCUGAGGUCUCCACACUCCUGCACCUGGACCUUCCCAUCUUCCGGGUUUCCAGGGCUUGGAAGAGCUCUUCCAGGGUUAGGAAGCCUUGGCUGUUCUUCCUUUGCAUCUGGGGCCCUACAGACUGCACCCAGCUGUCUCAAUUCUGUUGUGGUCCCACAGAUAUUUUUCCAUUCUGCUUUUAAUGUGCUGCUCAGAUGGUAGAAUAGGCCUAGAAUACAGACUCAUGGUGGGAAAAUUAGGCAAGAAGGAGAAUGUGGGAUCCAAGCAAAUUCAAAGGCUAGCAAGCAGACUCCAUGACAACUUGACUUAAGAAUAAUUCUCUUGGGCUUUACGCUCUGUUGUCCAGGCCAACUGGGCUGCCAGUCCUGCUCUGGAGACUCAGUAGAUUAGGGUCCCCAUCCCCACUCUUCUGCUCUUAGGUAUAUUGAAAAGAAAAUACCAAAGGUGUGUCUGACCAAACAUUUGAUAAGAAUAUUAGCAUGAAUGUGAGUACUGGACUUGAUCACUGUCCCAUCAAGAGGCAAAAAUAGAGACAGGGUACUACUGUGAGCAUAAACCUGUGAGCAGAGCUCAGAAAAUGGGCAAAAUGAAGGAGACUUAUCAUAUUUCUUCUGCCCCACAGAGCUGGACUAUAGAACUAUAUGGCUGAAAAUGGGGAUGUUGUUAAGACAAGGGAAAAGGGACUUUUCCCAAGUGUGGGAAUGGGGAUGUGGUGGAGUCUUUAAAAGCAUGGUCUAAUGAGAUGUCCUUAGGGUCCUGGGGAAGCUGCCCUUAGAAGCAGUUCCGGAAGGAUACCUCGGAUAGGGUUUCUGAGCUUUCAAGGAGAAUGAGUCAUAACAAAUCCACCUUGAUCCCUUGAUUGCUCUCAGUCCUGUUUGGCAAUGGAAACUCUCCCUCUGUUCUGAGCUCCUGUAUGCUCCUCCUGCUGUCUGCCAUGAGGCCAUCAUGAGAGCUGAGCUGAGGCCAGCACCAUACCAUCGAAUCUCCAGAACUAUGAGCUAAAUUAACCUCUUUCUUAAUAAAGAUAUCCUUUGAUGAAAAUGUUCUGAUAUAGACCUCGAAUGCCAUUCAGAAAUCAUCAUGGCUGCCAUUCCAGAGUGUAUGGCCCCCAGGUCAGGGCUACAUCCACCUUGAUGUCAGAGCUUGGGACCAAAUCCAAGGAGUUGACCUCUGGGGGCAAACCUCAUCUCAACCAAGAACUAUGGCAUGGAUGCAGCCAAGGCAAAGAGCCCCAACCUGGGCAAUGCCCUAGCAGAAAACUUCCACAGGACUGCCACCCAGAGACCUGCUUUGGGGAACAUUUUGCAAAACCCCAACUGAAAACACUCAGGUGCACAUCAGCAGGAAAUAAUUAAAUCAGUGGUCUGGUAUUCACACAGUAGAGUUCAAUGCUGGAAAAGGAUCCACCCCACAAGCAACAUCUCAGAUAAACUCAGAAUGAUGACAUUUAAAAUGAGUGGACAUAGGAAUUUCUGCUGUCUGAUAUUCAUAGAGAGUACAAAAGAGGCUACAGUGCUGUGUGCUGAUGGAUGGAGGAAUGGUGUGCACUCUCGGGAGAGGGAGAGCAAGGACCAGUAGCCCAACUUGCCCUGUCUUAUAUAAAAGACUCAUACAGAGUUGGGUUCGGUUUUUGAAAUUUUGUUAAGUCCAACAAUGACCUGUGCAUGAAUCUUUAGGUAUUUUACAUCUAUGUUACAAUUCAUUUCACAUGGAAGAAAGGGAAAGGGCUUAAUGUAAUAGUGUCUGCAAAUAUUAAGUUGCUUGACACCAUGAUUAAUCUUUUAAAUAAGGUAUCAAUUCUAGGUUACAAACUAAGAUAUAACAGACAUACAACUCUCAGUGAAAAAGAGUAAAAGAUAGGAUUCUCUUUGAAUUAAUACAAAAGAUAUUAAGAGACAGAAAAACAACAGUGCAAAUAUCAUAAAAAGCAAACAGUAAGUUGAAACUAGUUCCAAAUAGUUCCAUUAUUUUACUCAACAAAUGUAGACUGCCUUUCUAAUAGUGACAAAUACUUUGCUGACAAAAAUUAUUUCUUGAUGGUACCAUGCAUACUCUGACUGGUUGUCAUAUAUACAGAAAUAGAGGCAUGCACACAUGUACGUGAUCACCCAGUAGUAGGUCUGUUCUGACAGAUCCCCGUACUGUGACUGUGCCACCCUUGUGUUUAUGGCUCAGGGAGGUGAGUAACAACCAGGAGACAUGGGACAGGGGCACACACAUCACAUGUUUCUGAGGACACUAGGGGAGGUUCUCCUCUUUAUCCAGGAAAAGCAGACCCUAGUGACACUAGCAUCUCUGCUCAGGAGAAUAAAGGGGCUGAGAGCAGAGACACCUGCAUUGAUUAAGGCAGAGAGGUGCAGCAUCCUCUGACUGGGAGGACCAGAAACACCCCACCAGAGAUGAAUGGUGAAGGAGAGAGUGUAGAGGGACAUGAAGGUGCACACCAGAAGGAGGACGGUUUGGGUAGCUCUGGACUCUGGGGAAGACCUGGGGGAGGGACUCUUGCUGUGGAGGUGCUGGAACCUCUGCUUGUGCCUGUACAGGAUGAGAACCAUGGAGCCACUGGCCUGGGGCAUGAUCCCCAAACAGAGCACAUCAGGGAAGGACAGCAAGGUUAUACUUAGUGCCUCUCUAGUGUUGUCAUGAGCACCACCAGAGCAGUAUCCAAAGUCUCUUUGUGGUAUUAUUACUACCUCUGUCAGUUACCCACAGGAACAAUGAUAUUGACCAGCAGGUGGAGGAUCCAGCACAGGAGCACCGAGGUGCCAGUGUACCUGGGGGCUUUCCCUUGGAGCUCUGCCCACCUGGAGUCCCUGGGGCUGAUGGUGAUGGCCUGGAAGACACUCAAGAGGCAGGUGCUGCUGAAGGACAUACCCCUGCCCACCCUGGGAACAUAGAAAACAAGUUUGCAUCCAAGAUCCCUGAAGAAGUGUCUAAAGCCAAGAGCUGCCAUGGUCUGUGGGACUCCCCUGAAGAGCAGGAAAAGGGAGUUGGCUGCAGUCAGGUGCCUGAUAAUCCAAUCUGUGCAUCUGAACCUACACCCAGAGCAGUAAAGGCAGAGGGAGGAGGAGAGGAGGCAGAAAUUCCCCAGGACUCCAACCACAGUCUGGCUCAAGAAGACCACACCCAGGGUCAGGUCCCCAGAGGCCAUUCUGCCAGUUCCCACAGACGAUGUUGAUCUUCAGAUCCCAGGAUCCUGCACGAGGACAAGAGGUGAGGGCUGCAUUGAAAGGGUCAUCUAAAGUCCAGGGCCUCUGCUUACUACUAGUUCACAAUUAGGAACCUGUACUUUAAGGUGUUUCUAUUACUAAAAGGAUUCCAUCAUUAAAACAUCUGUUUAAUAUAUUAAAAUGUGUUAAAAACAUUGUAGCAUGUAUAAUGGCAUAAUUUGGCAUGAACAUUCUUUAUAUGCAGAGUUACA